GUUUUCGUAGUGUAGUGGUUAUCACGUUUGCCUCACACGCGAAAGGCCCCCUUUUCGAACCCGGGCGAAAACA
Molecule: transfer RNA, 73 nt
Filed under: Saccoglossus kowalevskii
Lineage: Eukaryota; Metazoa; Hemichordata; Enteropneusta; Harrimaniidae
Description: tRNA-Val
Rfam family: tRNA
About the family: Transfer RNA (tRNA) molecules are approximately 80 nucleotides in length. Their secondary structure includes four short double-helical elements and three loops (D, anti-codon, and T loops).
Source: RNAcentral